RNAcentral lists this ribosomal RNA (494 nucleotides) under uncultured Oomycota. RNAcentral's name for it is "eukaryotic LSU rRNA". The stretch from base 438 to 494 matches the Rfam family "Eukaryotic large subunit ribosomal RNA", at positions 1 to 57 of the family's 3401-position model. Lineage: Eukaryota; Oomycota. The record is from RNAcentral.
UGUAUCAGUGUCCGUACAUCAAACUUGGUUUUCUUCUUUCCGUGUAGUCGGGGGAGGAUAUGCCAGAUGUGAAGUGUCUUACGGCUGAUUUUCGGAUCGGCUGUGAGUCCUUUGAAAUGUACAGAACUGACUCUCUUUGUUCGAAAAGCGUGGCAUUGCUGGUUGUAAAGGCUGUUCAUGUGACCAGUCGGCGAUCGGUUUGUCUGCUGUGGCGUUAAUGGAGGAGUGUUCGAUUCGCGGUAUGGUUGGCUUCGGCUGAACGGACGCUUAUUGGUCAUUCUUCUUGCUGUGGCGGUAUAACUGAUGAACCGUAGUCGUGUGUGACUUACCUUUUGAAUCGGCGUUGCUGUGCGAAGUAGAGUGACAGUUUCGGCUGUCGAGGGUCGACCCAUUUGGGAAAUUGUGCGGUGCGGCUUCGGUCGCGCGGCAUCUCAAUUGGACCUGAUAUCAGGCAAGAUUACCCGCUGAACUUAAGCAUAUCAAUAAGCGGAGGA